AGUGAACGCUGGCGGUAGGCCUAACACAUGCAAGUCGAACGGCAGCACAGUAAGAGCUUGCUCUUACGGGUGUCGAGUGGCGGACGGGGGAGGAAUACAUCGGAAUCUACUUUUUCGUGGGGGAUAACGUAGGGAAACUUACGCUAAUACCGCAUACGACCUACGGGUGAAAGCAGGGGAUCUUCGGACCUUGCGCGAUUGAAUGAGCCGAUGUCGGAGUAGCUAGUUGGCGGGGUAAAGGCCCACCAAGGCGACGAUCCGUAGCUGGUCUGAGAGGAUGAACAGCCACACUGGAACUGAGACACGGUCCAGACUCCUACGGUAGGAAGCAGUGGGGAAUAUUGGACGAUGGGCGCAAGCCUGAUCCAGCUAUACCGCGUGGGUGCAGAAGGCCUUCGGGUUGUAAAGCCCUUUUGUUGGGAAAGAAAAGCAGCAGGUUAACACCCCGCUGUUCUGACGGUACCCAAAGAAUAAGCACCGGCUAACUUCGUG
This 492-nucleotide ribosomal RNA is filed under the name uncultured bacterium. RNAcentral describes it as "partial 16S ribosomal RNA". It matches the Rfam family "Bacterial small subunit ribosomal RNA", at positions 29 to 507 of the family's 1533-position model. The record is from RNAcentral.